This 535-nucleotide ribosomal RNA is filed under the name uncultured bacterium. Its description in RNAcentral is "bacterial SSU rRNA". It matches the Rfam family "Bacterial small subunit ribosomal RNA", at positions 56 to 601 of the family's 1533-position model. The record is from RNAcentral.
UGCAAGUCGAACGAGGUGCUUGAGUAGCAAUACAAGAGUAUCCUAGUGGCGAACGGGUGAGUAACGCGUUGGUGACCUACCCCAAAGUGUGGGAUAACAGUUCGAAAGAACUGCUAAUACCGCAUGUGGUUAUCGGGUUUAGAAACUGAUAACUAAAGGAGCAAUUCGCUUUGGGAGGGACCUGCGUCCCAUCAGCUAGUUGGUGAGGUAAUGGCUCACCAAGGCUACGACGGGUAGGGGACCUGAGAGGGUGACCCCCCACAAUGGAACUGAAACACGGUCCAUACACCUACGGGUGGCAGCAGUAGGGAAUAUUGCACAAUGGGCGAAAGCCUGAUGCAGCAACGCCGCGUGUGCGAUGAAGGCCUUCGGGUCGUAAAGCACUUUUCUGAGAGAUGAGCAAGGACAGUAUCUCAGGAAUAAGUCUCGGCUAACUACGUGCCAGCAGCCGCGGUAAAACGUAGGAGGCAAGCGUUAUCCGGAUUCACUGGGCGUAAAGCGCGUGCAGGCGGUUCGGUAAGUUGGGUAUGAAAUC